Non-coding RNA from Phrynosoma platyrhinos (Desert horned lizard), 72 nucleotides. Lineage: Eukaryota; Metazoa; Chordata; Lepidosauria; Squamata; Phrynosomatidae. The record is from the annotation of a GenBank genome assembly.
ACCAGAGUGGCGUAGUGGUUUGAGUACUGGACUAAGACUCUGGAGACCAGGGUUUAAAACCCAACUCAGCCA